This 29-nucleotide non-coding RNA is filed under the name Homo sapiens (human). The record is from RNAcentral. Lineage: Eukaryota; Metazoa; Chordata; Mammalia; Primates; Hominidae.
AGGUUAGUAAGAGUGCUUCAAGAGGGGAA